GUGCUAAUACCGUAUAAGCUCACGCCGAGUAGGUAGGUGUGAGAAAAGGUUUAACUGCUUGGGGAGGGGGGCGUGCGGCCCGACUCAGGUAGUUGGUGAGGUAACGGCUCACCAAGCCGACGACGGGUAGGGGGUCUGAGAGGAUGGCCCCCCACACUGGGACUGAGACACGGCCCAGACUCCUACGGGAGGCAGCAGUGAGGGAUAUUGCGCAAUGGGGAAACCCUGACGCAGCGACGCCGCGUGGGUGAUGAAGGCCUUCGGGUCGUAAAACCCUUUUGCCACUGACGAGGAAGGACGGUAGGUGGCGAAUAAGCCUCGGCUAACUACGUG
Molecule: ribosomal RNA, 333 nt
Filed under: uncultured bacterium
Lineage: Bacteria
Description: bacterial SSU rRNA
Rfam family: Bacterial small subunit ribosomal RNA
Source: RNAcentral